This 257-nucleotide long non-coding RNA is filed under the name Prunus dulcis (almond). RNAcentral describes it as "sRNA ncRNA". Lineage: Eukaryota; Viridiplantae; Streptophyta; Magnoliopsida; Rosales; Rosaceae. The record is from RNAcentral.
GACAUGCAAAGAGACCCUCUAGAGUCAUGAUCAAAGGACAAGACUUGCAUGCAUCAGCCAACAGAACAAAGAAAGUUUGUAUUUUGUUCCUUCUUUUGCUUGUUGGGGUCAGCUUUAUUUCCACUUUCUUUCUUGUUUUUGUUUUGUUUUAUGCUUUGGUCUUGUGUCCUUGCUUAGUACUAAGCUCUCAGAAAAACUGGUUUAUCAGAAAAAUAGCAGUCUCCAACUUCACUGGCGGCUUCGAGACCUUCAAAUAG